This 254-nucleotide ribosomal RNA is filed under the name uncultured bacterium. RNAcentral describes it as "partial 16S ribosomal RNA". It matches the Rfam family "Bacterial small subunit ribosomal RNA", at positions 524 to 776 of the family's 1533-position model. The record is from RNAcentral.
UACGAAGGGGGCUAGCGUUGUUCGGAAUUACUGGGCGUAGAGCGUAUGUAGGCGGAUCGUUAAGUCGGGGGUGAAAUCCCGAGGCUCAACCUCGGAACUGCCUUCGAUACUGGCGAUCUUCGAGUCCGGGAGAGGUGAGUGGAACUCCGAGUGUAGAGGUGAAAUUCGUAGAUAUUCGGAAGAACACCAGUGGCGAAGGCGGCUCACUGGCCCGGUACUGACGCUGAAAUACGAAAGCGUGGGGAGCAAACAGG